UGUUUCCUACGGGGGGCAGCAGUGAGGAAUAUUGGUCAAUGGGAGAGAUCCUGAACCAGCCAAGCCGCGUGAGGGAAGACGGCCCUAUGGGUUGUAAACCUCUUUUGCCGGGGAGCAAAAAGCGGUACGUGUACCGCAUCGAGAGUACCCGGAGAAAAAGCAUCGGCUAACUCCGUGCCAGCAGCCGCGGUAAUACGGAGGAUGCGAGCGUUAUCCGGAUUUAUUGGGUUUAAAGGGUGCGCAGGCGGCGAGUUAAGUCAGCGGUAAAAUUUCGGGGCUCAACCCCGACGAGCCGUUGAAACUGG
This 305-nucleotide ribosomal RNA is filed under the name uncultured bacterium. Its description in RNAcentral is "bacterial SSU rRNA". It matches the Rfam family "Bacterial small subunit ribosomal RNA", at positions 333 to 636 of the family's 1533-position model. The record is from RNAcentral.